GUUUGAUCCUGGCUCAGAGCGAACGCUGGCGGCAGGCCUAACACAUGCAAGUCGAGCGCCCGUAGCAAUACGGGAGCGGCAGACGGGAGAGUAACACGUGGGAACGCGCCCUUCGGUUCGGAAUAACUCAGGGAAACUUGAGCUAAUACCGGAUACGCCCUUACGGGGAAAGAUUUAUUGCCGAAGGAACGGCCCGCGUCGGAUUAGCUAGUUGGUGAGGUAAUGGCUCACCAAGGCGACGAUCCGUAGCUGGUCUGAGAGGAUGACCAGCCUCACUGGGACUGAGACACGGCCCAGACUCCUACGGGAGGCAGCAGUGGGGAAUAUUGGACAAUGGGCGCAAGCCUGAUCCAGCCAUGCCGCGUGGAUGAUGAAGGCCCUAGGGUUGUAAAGUCCUUUUAACGGGGAAGAUAAUGACGGUACCCGUAGAAUAAGCCCCGGCUAACUUCGUGCCAGCAGCCGCGGUUA
RNAcentral lists this ribosomal RNA (468 nucleotides) under uncultured bacterium. Its description in RNAcentral is "bacterial SSU rRNA". It matches the Rfam family "Bacterial small subunit ribosomal RNA", at positions 11 to 523 of the family's 1533-position model. The record is from RNAcentral.